UCCUCUCUUCCUUCACGCCCCUUCCUCUUAUUUGCGCGCGCCGCUCGCUUGUGUGCGAUAGCUCAUCAGCUGGUACUGGUAUAUGGUACGGUUGUAGUUGUAUCUUGAAUUGGCGAUUGGUACAUAUAUAUGUAGUGUAUUUGGUUUUACCUGUGACCUUGACGAUGCGAGAUCCGAUCAAUUCUGGUGUUGAAGCAAUAUUUGUGCUAUGCUGGUUGUUGCCAUUCCGUGCCGUUUCUGAUGUGGCCAUUUGAUCGCCAUGUCGAUCAACGGUUAUGAAGCCAAUUUCAAACGAGCGAAGGUGAAGGAAUAGUUCCGUACCGGAUUUUUUUUUAUCAUGUCUGAUACUCCAAUACUGAUCUCGACCCGAUAUUUUCCCGAAAAUUGACCCAUACUUCAAUACCAUUUAACUAUUUUAAUUGAUUCCUCAUACCAGUGGCGGAUCUAACGAUAGGCGGACUAGGCGGUCGCCUGGGGCCCCGCCGAUUCAGGGGCCUCGUAGAUCGCUAGUUUAUAGUAUGCCGUAUGGACAGAGUACUAGCUACUAGCCCCCGGAAGGAUGGAAGUUGGGGCCCCGAGGCUGGCGAAGCUUCUAUUAACUGCUUCUUUCCAUUUUCCCUUCUCUUCUUCUUCUAUUUGUCGUAUACCUGGUCAUGCCAGCCAAUGCAAGCUUUAGCGUCUUUUUAGUACCACACACCCGGCUGGCCAGUCCUUACUACGAGGGGACGGUCUAUAUUAGGCUUGAACCAAUGACGGGCAUGAUAUUAUCAUCCUAUAUGUAUCCACAUUAAUACAAAAUGUGCGACAAAACAACACAUAAACGUCGUUCAACAGCUCUUUGGUUUAUUUCUUUAACACAUGAUUAUAAAGCCACAUACAUAAGGAAGAAGAAAAAGAAAGCCACAUCCAAAAACACACGCGGGAGGGGGAGGGAGAGAGAACGGCCACACUCGGUUCCGUGUCAAGAUCCUCUCUGCGGACAUCACACGCUGACAGUGCCUCUUUCAACGGUGAGCCCUCAGGAUCGGGCCGUGAUCUGUGCACAUCCAUUUGAACGUGUCACCAACUGAUAAUAAAACAUUAGAAACAGA
Molecule: long non-coding RNA, 1091 nt
Organism: Anopheles gambiae (African malaria mosquito)
Lineage: Eukaryota; Metazoa; Arthropoda; Insecta; Diptera; Culicidae
Exons: 2
Source: RefSeq, a predicted model, not a curated record